Molecule: ribosomal RNA, 465 nt
Filed under: Vreelandella stevensii
Lineage: Bacteria; Pseudomonadati; Pseudomonadota; Gammaproteobacteria; Oceanospirillales; Halomonadaceae
Description: partial 16S ribosomal RNA
Rfam family: Bacterial small subunit ribosomal RNA
Source: RNAcentral
CCUACGGGUGGCAGCAGUGGGGAAUAUUGGACAAUGGGGGGAACCCUGAUCCAGCCAUGCCGCGUGUGUGAAGAAGGCCCUCGGGUUGUAAAGCACUUUCAGUGAGGAAGAACGCCUGGUGGUUAAUACCCAUCAGGAAAGACAUCACUCACAGAAGAAGCACCGGCUAACUCCGUGCCAGCAGCCGCGGUAAUACGGAGGGUGCGAGCGUUAAUCGGAAUUACUGGGCGUAAAGCGCGCGUAGGUGGCUUGAUAAGCCGGUUGUGAAAGCCCCGGGCUCAACCUGGGAACGGCAUCCGGAACUGUCAAGCUAGAGUGCAGGAGAGGAAGGUAGAAUUCCCGGUGUAGCGGUGAAAUGCGUAGAGAUCGGGAGGAAUACCAGUGGCGAAGGCGGCCUUCUGGACUGACACUGACACUGAGGUGCGAAAGCGUGGGUAGCAAACAGGAGUAGAUACCCUAGUAGUC